This 1505-nucleotide ribosomal RNA is filed under the name Pediococcus sp. IBUN 186. RNAcentral describes it as "partial 16S ribosomal RNA". It matches the Rfam family "Bacterial small subunit ribosomal RNA". The record is from RNAcentral. Lineage: Bacteria; Bacillati; Bacillota; Bacilli; Lactobacillales; Lactobacillaceae.
GGGGAGCAUGGGGCUAACUGCAGUCGAGCGAUCUUUUGUUAUAUGAUAUGAAGUGCUUGCUCUCAAUGAGAUUUUACUGCGCAUGGUGAGUGGCGAUACGGUAUGCAGAUAACGCGUGCUGUUACCUGCACUACAUACAGGGAGAUAACAUGCGUGUGUAUAUGCUGUAUGCUACUCACCGUAGUAACAGAAAGAGACCCCCUGGUUUUCUUUUAGAUGAUGGCUCUGCUAUUAUAUUCUGGAUGGACUCACUACGCAAUAUCUAAUUGUGAACGUAACGGCUCACCCUGGCAAUCAUGCGUAACUCAUCUGAGAGGGUAAUCUGCCAAAUUGUGACUGAGACACGACCGCCACUCCUACCGGCAGGCACGCUGAACGAUAAUCUUCCUUCAUGUACGCAAGUUUUAUGGACCAACACCAUCAUGACUGAACAUUGGUUUCGAGCUCCUAGAGUUCUGUUGUGUCAGAAGACCCUGUGUGACAUUAACUGUUCACCCUAUGACGAAUUUUAGCCAGAAAACCACGCCUAAGUACUUGUUUACAUCCGAGGUGAUACGUAAGUGGUCAGCGUUAUCCGGAUUUAUUGACUGUAAAACUUGCGUGCGCGGUCUUUUAAGUCUAAUGCGAAAGCCUUCGGCUCAUGCGAAGAUGUGCAUUGGAAUCUGGGAGACUUGAGUGCCUAUCAGGACAGUGAAUCUCCCUGUGUAGCGAUGACAUGCGUAGAUAUUUGGAGGAACCCCAGUGGCGAGGGCGGCUGUCUGGUCUGUACCUGACGCUGAGGCUCGAAAGCAUGGGUAGCGACCAGGAUUAGAUACCUUGGUAGUCCACGCCGUAAACGAUGAUUACUAAGUGUNGGAGGGUUUCCCCCCUUUCAGUGGGACAGUUAACGCAUUAUGUUAUCCGCUUGAGGAGUACGACCGCAAGUAGAAAUCUCAAAAGAAUGAGAGGGGGGCCCGCACAAACGGGAGCGCAUGUGGUAUAUUUGGAAGAAUACGAGAAACCUCUUAUCAGGUCUUGAUAUCAUCUGCCUACCUAAGAGAGUAGGCGUUCCCUUCGGGGACAGAAUGACAGGUGGUGCAUGGUUGUCGUCAGCUCGUGUCGUGAGAUGUUGGGUUAAGUCCCGCAACGAGCGCAACCCUUACUAUUAGUUGCCAGCAUUCAGUUGGGCACUCUAGAGAGACUGCCGGUGACAAACCGGAGGAAGGUGGGGAUGACGUCAAAUCAUCAUGCCCCUUAUGACCAGGGCUACACACGUGCUACAAUGGAUGGUACAGCGAGUCGCCAAACCGCGAGGUUGAGCUAAUCUCUUAAAACCAUUCUCAGUUCGGACUGUAGGCUGCAACUCGCCUACACGAAGUCGGAAUCGCUAGUAAUCGCGGAUCAGCAUGCCGCGGUGAAUACGUUCCCGGGCCUUGUACACACCGCCCGUCACACCAUGAGAGUGGUAACGCCCACAAGCCGUGAGCUAUCCUAUAGGAUCUUCCUCUAAGGUGACCAGCUCAUCC